GCCCUGGUGGCACAAUUGGUCAGCGCGUGAGACUUUUACUUCUUCAGAAGCAGUCAAUCUCAAGGUUGAGAGUUCGAGCCUCUCCCAGGGCG
Non-coding RNA from Cladophialophora carrionii, 92 nucleotides. The record is from Rfam. NCBI's taxonomy places the organism in Eukaryota, Fungi, Ascomycota, Eurotiomycetes, Chaetothyriales, Herpotrichiellaceae.